Eubalaena glacialis (North Atlantic right whale) is the source of this 3875-nucleotide RNA transcript. It is a transcript of the gene named ATPase phospholipid transporting 9B (putative), with no coding region annotated. The record is from RefSeq and is a predicted model, not a curated record. NCBI's taxonomy places the organism in Eukaryota, Metazoa, Chordata, Mammalia, Artiodactyla, Balaenidae. The transcript has 25 exons.
AAGGUGGCGGCCAGAACAUGGCGGAACAGAUCCCUCUGUGCCCGGUGCGCAGCGCGGCGGCCGCGGCCAACUGCAAACGCGCGGCCUACUUCAGCGCGGCGGGGCCCGGGCCGGGGGCCGAGCGGUCCAGCAGGUACCAGCUGGAAGAUGAGUCUGCCCAUUUGGAUGAAAUGCCACUAAUGAUGUCUGAAGAAGGCUUUGAGAAUGACGAAAGUGAUUACCACAAAUUACCGCGAGCUAGGAUCAUGCGAAGAAAGAGAGGCCUAGAGUGGUUUGUCUGUGGAGGAUGGAAGUUCCUCUGUACCAGUUGCUGUGAUUGGCUGAUAAAUAUUUGUCAAAGAAAGAGAGAAUUGAAAGCUCGUACAGUGUGGCUUGGAUAUCCGGAAAAGUGUGAAGAAAAACAUCCCAGAAAUUCUAUAAAAAAUCAGAAAUACAAUGUAUUUACCUUUAUACCUGGGGUUUUAUAUGAACAAUUCAAGUUUUUCUUGAAUCUCUAUUUUCUGGUAGUAUCCUGCUCACAGUUUGUACCAGCAUUGAAAAUAGGCUAUCUCUACACCUACUGGGCUCCUCUGGGGUUUGUCUUGGCUGUUACUAUCAUGAGGGAAGCAAUUGAUGAAUUUCGGCGUUUUCAGCGAGACAAGGAAGUGAAUUCACAGCUAUACAGCAAGCUUACAGUAAGAGGUAAAGUGCAAGUUAAGAGUUCAGACAUACAAGUUGGAGACCUCAUCAUAGUGGAAAAGAAUCAAAGAAUUCCAUCGGACAUGGUAUUUCUUAGGACAUCAGAAAAAGCAGGUUCGUGUUUUAUUCGCACUGAUCAACUCGACGGUGAAACCGACUGGAAGCUGAAAGUGGCGGUGAGCUGCACGCAGAGGCUGCCGGCUCUGGGGGACCUUUUUUCUAUCAAUGCUUACGUUUAUGCUCAGAAGCCACAACUGGAUAUUCAUAGUUUUGAAGGCACAUUUACCAGGGAAGAUAGUGAUCCACCCAUUCACGAAAGUCUCAGCAUAGAAAAUACCUUGUGGGCAAGCACUGUUGUUGCAUCAGGUACUGUAAUAGGUGUUGUCAUUUAUACUGGAAAAGAGACUCGAAGUGUAAUGAACACAUCCAAUCCAAAAAAUAAGGUUGGUUUGCUGGACCUUGAGCUCAAUCAGCUGACCAAAGCGCUGUUUUUGGCGUUGGUUGCCCUCUCGGUUGUCAUGGUGACCUUGCAGGGAUUCUCAGGUCCCUGGUACCGCAGUCUCUUCCGCUUUCUCCUGCUCUUCUCCUACAUCAUUCCCAUAAGUUUGCGUGUGAACCUGGACAUGGGCAAAGCCGCCUACGGGUGGAUGAUUAUGAAAGAUGAGAAUAUUCCCGGCACAGUGGUCCGGACCAGCACCAUCCCGGAGGAGCUGGGGCGCCUGGUGUACCUGCUGACCGACAAGACAGGAACCCUCACCCGGAACGAGAUGGUAUUUAAGCGGCUGCAUCUGGGCACCGUGUCUUACGGGACGGACACGAUGGAUGAGAUCCAGAACCACCUCAUGAACUCCUACUCACAGAUGCAGUCCCAGGCCAGUGGAAACAACGCCAGUUCAACACCCCCAAGAAAAGCCCAGUCCUCAGCGCCCAAGGUCAGGAAAAGCGUGAGCAGCCGGGUCCACGAGGCCGUGAAGGCUGUCGCCCUGUGUCACAACGUGACCCCCGUGUACGAGGCCCGCGGCGCUGCCGGGGAGACCGAGUUCGCCGAUGCCGACCAGGAUUUCAGCGACGACAACCGCACCUACCAGGCCUCCAGCCCCGAUGAGGUGGCCCUGGUGCAGUGGACGGAGAGCGUCGGCCUCACUCUGGUCAACAGAGACCUCACGUCCAUGCAGCUGAGGACCCCCGGCGGCCAGAUCCUGACCUACUGCAUCCUGCAGACCUUCCCCUUCACCUCGGAGAGCAAGCGGAUGGGGGUCAUCGUCAGGGACGAGUCCACGGCAGAGAUCACGUUCUAUAUGAAAGGUGCUGACGUUGCCAUGUCCACCGUCGUCCAGUACAAUGACUGGCUGGAGGAGGAGUGCGGCAACAUGGCCCGCGAAGGCCUGCGCACCCUCGUGGUGGCCAAGAGGGCGCUGACGGAGGAGCAGUACCAGGACUUCGAGAACCGCUACAACCAGGCCAAGCUGAGCAUCCACGACAGGACGCUCAAGGUGGCCGCCGUGGUGGAGAGCCUGGAGCGGGAGAUGGAGCUGCUGUGCCUGACGGGGGUGGAGGACCAGCUGCAGGCGGACGUGAGGCCCACCCUGGAGAUGCUGCGCAACGCGGGCAUCAAGAUAUGGAUGCUGACGGGUGAUAAACUGGAGACGGCCACGUGCAUUGCCAAGAGUUCUCACCUGGUGUCUCGAACGCAGGACACGCACGUUUUCAGGCCGGUAACCAGUCGGGGAGAAGCCCAUUUGGAGCUGAAUGCCUUUCGAAGGAAGCAUGACUGUGCACUGGUCAUAUCCGGGGACUCCUUGGAGGUCUGCCUGAAGUACUACGAGCACGAGUUCGUGGAGCUGGCCUGCCAGUGCCCGGCCGUGGUCUGCUGCCGCUGCGCGCCCACGCAGAAGGCCCACAUCGUCAAGCUGCUGCAGCAGCACACGGGCAGACGCACGUGCGCCAUCGGUGACGGAGGGAACGACGUGAGCAUGAUCCAGGCAGCGGACUGCGGGAUCGGGAUCGAGGGGAAGCUGCCAACGUCCCGUGUUCAGGCAGCACCCUCGGAGACACGCAGGUCUGCUCUAGCUGAGGUGUCCCUCGCGUGAUGGCCACAGCUCCCAGGAGGCACCCCCGGGCCAUCACAGGUAUGCAUCCUCGCCAGGGAUUUCAGUGGGGAGCCUGAGGACGCACGUGAGAAGACUACCAGAUGCCAUCUUCACGGGGUACCAGGAGGGCACGUGACAUCUGAGGAAGAGUCCUGAGCUGCAGGCAGGGAGCGUGGGCGAGUGAUUGAGGAGGUGGGCUCGCAGCCCGUCACCGAGGGGCACCACGGAGCGACAGGAAACGCCCUGUCCUCCCAGCCCACGCGACUGGAAGACAGGCUGAGGUACAGGGGAAAGCUGUUUUCAGACCGUGGGCACCAGGCAGCAGGCACUGAUGCCGGAGACAAGGGAAGCUGGCAGGAUUCACAGCUGGGAAUCCCUGGAACCUUGAGAGGCAAAGAUUCCUUAGGCACAAAAUGCGUGAACUGUUACAGGAGAAAUUGACAAGAUGGACUUCAUCAAAAUUAAGUCUUCGCUCUUCUAAAGACAAUAUUAAUCAAAUGAAAGGGCGGGCUGGGAAACAGUCUUUUCAGUACGUAUAUCUGAUAAGAGCUCUGUACCCAGAAUGUUUCAUGAUCUCCAAACAACUCAGUUUUUUAAGAAAAGGCUAAAGAUUUGAACGUACAUCACAAAAGAAGAUGUAAGAGUAGCCAAUAAGCACAUGAAAAUAUAUUAACAUCAUUAGUUACAGGAAAUGGAAAUUUUAACCCCACUUGGAGGCCAAGUUAAGACAGACCGCGCUAAGUGUCAGCAGGAAGCUGGGGCUCCCGGGACUUACAGCUCCUGGCCGGAGUGCACAAUGGUGAAACGAGCCCAGAAGACAGUUGGCCGGUUUUUCAUACCAUUAAGCGUUCGGCCCAGCAGCCCUCCCCUCCGCAGCCUGCUCCUCCUUUAUUUGCGAAAACCUGUGCAGUAGAUAUUUAUAGCAGCUUUAUUUGUAAUAACCGGACACUGGGAACGACCCAGAUGCACUUCAGAGAAUGACCGGGGUGCAGAGCUGCUCUGUCCACAACCACGAACACUCCUCAGUAACCAGAGGACGGCCUGUCGUAUGGCCACACCUGGGUGACCCUCCAGGGACUGGGGCUGAACGAGAAGCUGAACCCCACG